This 2242-nucleotide long non-coding RNA is filed under the name Nicotiana benthamiana. Its description in RNAcentral is "long non-coding RNA (NBEN_LNC021716)". The record is from RNAcentral. Lineage: Eukaryota; Viridiplantae; Streptophyta; Magnoliopsida; Solanales; Solanaceae.
UAUUUUGCUCUCUUCUUACACUUUUUGUUCGUUGAUUCACUCUUUCUGCAGUCAGGGAAGGAUCAAUGAAGCAAUUCAAUUGUUAGAGUUAAUGAACCAUGAGAAAAUUAAAUACCCAUUUGAUAAUUUUGAGUGCAGUUUUGUGAUUCAUGGGUUCUUGAGUGUUGGAAAGCCCGAGCCUGCUGUUGAGUUCUUUGAAAAUGCUGUGAAUUCAGGUUGUUUAAAGCCCAAUGUUGUUACUUACACAACACUUGUGAGUGCUUAUUAUAGGUUAGGUAGAAUUGAGGAGGUUUCUGAUUUGGGGAUAAAUGGAUUAGAAUUAGAUGUUGUGUUUUACAGUAAUUGGAUAUAUGGGUAUUUUAGGGAAGGAGCAAUUGAAGAGGCACUAAAAAAAUAUAAUGAGAUGGUGUGUACUAGGAGAAUAGAAUUGGAUACAAUAGGCUAUACAAUACUUAUUGAUGGAUUCUCAAAGGAGGGACAUGUGGAGAAAGCAGUUGGGCUCCUAUACAGGAUGAAAAAGCAUGGUCUUCAACCUAAUUUGGUUACUCUUACAGCACUAGUAUUAGGAUUCUGCAAGAAGGGGAAAGUGCUUGAGGCGUUUGCGGUGAUUAAGAUGGUUGAGGAUUUGCAGAUUGAAGCAGAUGAAUUUGUGUAUGCAGUAUUGAUUGAUGGUAUGUGCAGGAAGGGUGACGUUGGACGUGCAUUUGUACUGCUCGGUGGAAUGGAGAAGAAAGGCAUAAUACCUAGUGUUGUCACAUAUAAUACCAUUAUCAAUGGAUUGUGCAAAGCUGGGAGGAUGAAUGAGGCCGAUGAUGUGUCUAAGGGAAUCCUUGGAGAUGUUAUCACAUAUAGUACAUUGUUGCAUGGUUAUAUUCAAGAAGAAAAUGUCAUGGGAAUGCUAGAAACAAAAAAGAGAGUUGAAGCAGCUCAAGGGAAUCCUCGGAGAUGUUAUCACGUAUAGUACAUUGUUACAUGGUUAUAUUCAAGAAGAAAAUGUCAUGGGAAUGCUAGAAACGAAAAAGAGAGUUGAAGCAGCUGACGUUUUUCUGGAUGUUACUAUGUGCAACUUGCUUAUAAAAGCCCUAUUUAUGAUGGGGUUGUUUGAGGAGGCUCUUGCCAUAUAUAAGAAAAUAUCAGAUAUGGGCAUUCCUUCCAAUUCUGUUACUUACUGUGUCAUGAUUGACGGUUACUUGAAAUUAGGAAUGAUAGAGGAAGCACUUGAAAUAUUUGAUGAAUUUCGGAUGACUAUGGGCAUUACUUCCAAUUCUGUUACUUACAGUGCCAUGAUUGACGGUUACUUGAAAGUAGGAAUGAUAGAGGAAGCACUUGAAAUAUUUGAUGAAUUUCGUAAGACACCUAUACCUUCAGCUGCAUGUUACAAUUGCACCAUUCAAGGGCUCUGUAGGAAUGGCAUGCCGGACAUAGCAAUUGAAGUAUUCGUUGAACUAAUUGAUCGAGGCUUGCCUUUAAGUACAAGGAUCUAUAUGCCAUUGAUAAAAAAGAUAUUCGAAGUUAAGGGUGCUCAGGGAGUUUUAGAUUUGUUUCAGAGAUUGGAAAGAGUUAAGCAUGAAAAAUUUGGUUCAAUGUGUGAAGAUGCUGUUUCUUUCCUGUGCAACAAACGAUUACUAGAAGCUGCAGUCAAUCUGCUAAUUGUGAUCCAAACUAAUGGUUUUGUUCUAAGCAUGAAAUCCUACCAUCUUUUAAUGAAAUCUCUUCUCUAUGGUGGCCAAACCUUUUUGACCGGAUUUCUUUUGACAACAUUCCUAAAAAAAUAUGGGAUGUUUGAGCACGGGGCAAAGAAGAUGCUUGUUUACUUCCUUUGCAUUAAAAAUGUAGAAACUGCGCUUCGGUUUCUUGCUACAGUGAAAGGCGACACAUCUGAGGUGACCUUUCCUGCUGUAGUUUUGCGGACACUGACAAAAGGUGGCCGAUAUCUGGAUGCGUAUAACCUUGUUAUGGGAGCGAGAGAUAAGCUACCUCUCAUGGAUGUGGUUGACUACUCAAUUGUUAUUGACGGCCUUUGCAAAGGAGGACAUAUUGACAGGGCCUUAGAUCUCUGUAAUUUUGCCAGCAAUAUAGGAAUUUCUUUUAAUAUUGUAACCUAUAACUCAGUAAUCAGUGGGUUAUGUCAUCAAGGGUGUGUGCUUGAAGCUUUUCGGUUAUUUGAUUCAUUAGAAAGGAAUGAUAUAGUUCCUUCAGAAAUCACGUAUGGUAUACUCAUUGACGCUUUGUCAAAAGAAGG